Molecule: long non-coding RNA, 1634 nt
Organism: Pezoporus occidentalis (night parrot)
Lineage: Eukaryota; Metazoa; Chordata; Aves; Psittaciformes; Psittacidae
Exons: 5
Source: RefSeq, a predicted model, not a curated record
AGGAUCCUUUUUGUUUCCCUGCACUGUAGGAGCUGGUGGAACUGGCACAUGCCUAAUCCUGUGUUUUAGAAAAUAGGAACAACAUGAACCUGCGAAAGGGAAAAGGGUUUUGUGUUUCUUCUCGUCUUUGGCACCUGCAUGUGCUGAAGGCUGUGCACAUGCUGUAUCUCCUGUACUGCUCCUGCACUGACUCUAGGUCGUAUCUCUAGUGGUAUGUCAUCAGUGCUACAAAAUUCCUAAACAUUUACUGGGAAUAGUAGUCUUGCUGUUUCUGAACUGAAGCUUAGAAAUUGCAUCACGAUCAGGUAUGCAAGUAUACCUGUAGCUAUAAAUUAAGCAAAAUAUGUGUACAUCUAUGUUGUCUCUUCACUGAAGGAAGAAUCACCUUUCUCCUUCCCAAACCCAUGUCUUUCUCAGAUAAGAUGACAUGCUAUGAAUACUCUCCUAUCAUAUAAAAAGAUGUGCCUGCCUCUGUCUCCUUGUAAUGUUUCAUCACCUUCUUCAUUCACUUAAAAUAUGUAGUAAUUUUUAAAUCACAAGAGACUUUUUUGUAUUAUUUGGGAUGGGCUAAGCAGAGGUAAAACUAGUAAUUCCUAUCACUUUAAUUAUUUUCUCUUCUAACAGAAACUUCAGCCUUCCAGCUACUUGUGAGGCAGCAAUAUGUGCGUACCCUUAUGACUGACUGUACCUCUGUGUUUUGUUGCUGGUUUUAAGGUAGUUGAAGAAAAAAAUGUAUUUAUGGGAAAUCAGGUGGUCCCCACAUGGUUGUCUGAUCUAAAGGAGCAAGUGGAAAACAAGGCGCAGAGGCUGGCCUAACUCUAUCGGCUGACAAGUUGGGAAAUGCAGAGUGACACUGGGUUCAGGGCAAUCCAGUGCAAGAGCAAUGUGGGAAAGGGGACAGCAUAUUGAGCAAAUUAAAGCCAUCAUGAAGCAGAGGAAUAAGAACAUUCCACAGAGGACAACAUGUACAAGCAGAUUAGUUAUGUUUUCCUACGGUCCUCCUUCCCUGAUGCACUCGUGUGAGUGUAGUUUGUUCUCAAACAGAGAAGAAGUGAUUUCACCAGCUCCUGUGGGCAAAAUUCCAGCCUAAAGCCAACUUGUGCAUCUUUGCUGGAGCUUGUGUGGUCUGAAUUAGGAGUGGCAGAAGAAGCAGUCUCCCCUUCCUGUAACGAGCAGGAUGGCAAUGCAGGUAUCCGAUGGGUCUGUUGGUUGUCAUGGCACUCAGUGCAAAGGAGCGGAGCUGUCCCAGCCCCGCGCUGGGGGAAUUCAAAAUGAAAAUAAGGACAAUUAGCAUGAUCCUUCAGGAUUUCCUUUUCCCCAGCUGCAUUUGCAAAUACAUAUUUACAUUUAUGGGAUGGAAUUCAGUGACAAGAAUGAUCUGAAAUUAAAUUAUGAGAUGGACUGCUUGGAACAGUCAGCUGUAGAAAGAAAGCAGAGUAAGAGAGAACAAUCUAUCCAGGAUGCUGCCAGGCCAGGCUGCAGAGAAGCAACAAUCUAUAUUCAUUAAAGAUAUUUAAUAAUUUUCUAAAAAAAUAAAUGUAAAAAAUAUCUCAAGUCAGGAAAUAUGAACCUUAUAUUGAUUAAGCAUUUGAAAAGGGAUUUUUCUCAAUAAAGGAAACCAUAUUUUCUACUCA